Schistosoma curassoni is the source of this 46-nucleotide non-coding RNA. Lineage: Eukaryota; Metazoa; Platyhelminthes; Trematoda; Strigeidida; Schistosomatidae. The record is from Rfam.
UUACUGCUGAGGAGUCCCACAAUAGGACGAAACGGCCGUCCAGUGC